Molecule: ribosomal RNA, 465 nt
Filed under: uncultured bacterium
Lineage: Bacteria
Description: partial 16S ribosomal RNA
Rfam family: Bacterial small subunit ribosomal RNA
Source: RNAcentral
CCUACGGGGGGCAGCAGUAGGGAAUCUUCCACAAUGGACGAAAGUCUGAUGGAGCAACGCCGCGUGAGUGAAGAAGGGUUUCGGCUCGUAAAGCUCUGUUGGUAGGGAAGAAAGAUAGAGGUAGUAACUGGCCUUUAUUUGACGGUAAUUACUUAGAAAGUCACGGCUAACUACGUGCCAGCAGCCGCGGUAAUACGUAGGUGGCAAGCGUUGUCCGGAAUUAUUGGGCGUAAAGCGAGUGCAGGCGGUUCAAUAAGUCUGAUGUGAAAGCCGUCGGCUCAACCGGAGAAUUGCAUCAGAAACUGGUGAACUUGAGUGCAGAAGAGGAGAGUGGAACUCCAGGUGUAGCGGUGAAAUGCGUAGAUAUAUGGAAGAACACCAGUGGCGAAGGCGGCUAUCUGGUCUGCAACUGACGCUGAGGCUCGAAAGCAUGGGUAGCGAACAGGAUUAGAUACCCUAGUAGUC